AGAACGAACGCUGGCGGCACGCCUAACACAUGCAAGUCGAGCGAGACCUUCGGGUUUAGCGGCGGACGGGUUAGUAACGCGUGGGAACGUACCCUUUUCUACGGAAUAGCCUCGGGAAACUGGGAGUAAUACCGUAUACGCCCUUUUGGGGAAAGAUUUAUCGGAGAAGGAUCGGCCCGCGUCUGAUUAGAUAGUUGGUGGGGUAAUGGCCUACCAAGUCUGCGAUCAGUAGCUGGUUUGAGAGGAUGAUCAGCAACACUGGGACUGAGACACGGCCCAGACUCCUACGGGAGGCAGCAGUGGGGAAUCUUAGACAAUGGGCGCAAGCCUGAUCUAGCGAUGCCGCGUGAGUGACGAAGGCCUUAGGGUCGUAAAGCUCUUCGCCAGGGAUGAUAAUGAACAGUACCUGGUAAAGAAACCCCGGCUAAACUCCGUGCCAGCAGCCG
RNAcentral lists this ribosomal RNA (446 nucleotides) under uncultured soil bacterium. Its description in RNAcentral is "bacterial SSU rRNA". It matches the Rfam family "Bacterial small subunit ribosomal RNA", at positions 26 to 517 of the family's 1533-position model. The record is from RNAcentral.